UGAGAAAUGGUCCCUCAUGCAGAGGUCGCACAGGGCUGAAGCCAAACGAGGUGCACCUUCGGGCUGAAAGGGUCCGUCCUUUGAGUGGGGCCGGAAUCAAUGUCGGCACUAAGAAAGUCACUGGUGUGGUGGAAUUGGAGUGUCCCCAUUUCAGAAUAUUCUGGCCACUUCGGCUUGACACUGAUGACUAAAAUUCCACUGCUCAAGUUCAUCUAUUCAGGCUGAAAACAUGUCUGUUGUUGAAAUGUAACCCUUUAGUGAGAGAUAACACAUUUUCCUGCUGCGUAUACCAGGACCUUUGGGGUGGCAAGGUUCAGAAACUGAACUCGAAAUGGCAUAAGCAUAAAACAGGAUUUAACUGGUUCAGUAAUCAGGGUAGACUGGCUUCAAGCACAGCCAGAUCAGGUGCCAAAACAAUGUCAUCAGAAAUCUAUCUUUUGGAGUUCCCAUCGUGGCUCACUGGAGCUGUGGUGGGUCCAAUCAGAGCUACAGCUGCUGGCCUACACCACAGCCACAGCCAUGCCAGAUGUGAGUCAUGUCUGUGACCUACGUCACAGCUCAUAGCAAUGCCGGAUCUUUAACCCACCGAGCAAGGCCAGGGAUCAAACCCACAACCUCAUGGUUCCUAGUUGGAUUUGUUUCUGCUGCGCCAUGAUGGGAACUCCCGGUUUUCAUACCUCCAAAUGUAAUAACUAGCAGAGACCAGCUCCUAAUAGAUGAGACUUAACAGAGGUUGUACAGACAAGUCUAAAGUGAGGGACACCAUACUGGGAAACCAGGCAGGGUUGGGGUCAGAGCAUUAGGGCUCCUGAGGACAUAGGGGCCAAGCCAGGGGCUCUGAGAUUUUAACAAUACACUCUCAGAGGCAGAGAAAAUUUCAAAACCAUGCAAAAAGUAGCAGAGAAAUUCCAGGUAGCCUGACAGGUACGGGGCAGGCGACAAGCACUGCAGUUCACAAUUCGUACCACUGGGCUUCUCCUGACCUGCAUGCUUAGCCUUCAGCCUUGCUUAACAGAAAUGAAAUAAUCUUGUAAGAGUUUCUAUAUCAGAAUCCAGGGAUAUUUCAUCAUGUUUCGUGAGGUGUAUGUGUGCCUGGCAGGGACAAUAGGAUAAAAUCAGGGAAGGCAUCCUGACUCAUCUGCUGGACCAACCCACCAUCUCUGUGUGGUUCCCACCACAGGCAGCUAAGAUUUAUCCAGCACCAUAUUUUUUUUUUAUUCUUAUUUUUCACUUUUUGCUUUUUAGGGCCGGCACAUGGAUGCUCCCAGGGUAGGGGUCGAAUCGGAGCCACAGCUGCUGGCCUGCACCACAGCCACAGCAACACCAGAUCUGAGCUGAGUCAGCAACCUACACUGUGGCUUACGGCAAUGCCAGAUCCUUAACCCAUGGAGCAAGGUCAGGGAUUGAACUCACAUCUUCAUGGAUACUAGUUGGGUUCUUAACCUGCUAAGCCACAAUGGGAACUCCCCAGCACCAUAUGACAACAAACCCAUGAGGUCCAGCCUAGAGCUCCAGUCCUAGGUGAGGAACCAGGGCUUGCAGAAAGGGGAAGUGAUUUGCCAGCCAGUGGGUGUGGGGCCAGGAUGGAGACCCUAGUCAUGGGAUUCCAGAGCCUACAUCCCUAAACCUCAUUCCACAAGCAAGGAUCUGAAACCAGGAAGCGUUGGGGAAGAAUGGAGAGAAGAAUUACAAGGAGAAAAGCUUGAUGUUUAAAGCAAUCGGCAAUAAGGGGUAGGGGGGAAAAAAUCCAGGUAUACAAGACAUGGUUGCUGAGCAUCUCGGAACAGGACCAAGGAGCCAACAGAGUAUGAGAACAUGCUGCCCUUUAUUUGUUAAAGAUGAUAUGACUACAGGUGAAGUGAGCACAUAAUUGAUUCUCUAAACACAGACCUUUAGCGAAUGAGAGGACACAUUAAUAAUCAUACCAGGAAGACUGUGAUAAAUCAAGACUGGCUUGGGAGAAUCAGGACACAGGGUCACCUUAACCAGAGCUACUAAUGGUAGGGCUUGGCUUUAUUCUAAUAGUGGUGAUGGAUAUGCGUGGAUCCAUCCACAGCCCCUCAGAGCCCCUUCCAUCAUCCUUCUGUGGGUUGCAGAAUGGCCAGUGAGGGCUGUAUCAAUGGGCUUUGAUCUUUGUAGCCCUGUUCUCUACCUAACCAUAAUAUAGUCAGGGGACAAAAGACACAGCUUAAAUAAUUAAUGUUCUAAAUUACACCGACAAUUAACUAAGGAAGGCAGUACAUCAGAAUGGCUAAUGGAUAUCACUUUGAGGUUUAAAUCUCAGCUAAGUGAUCUCAGGCAAGAUUUAGUGGGAGUUCAGAUUCCUGAUCUGUGAAAUGAGAACAAGAGCACACACUGAGCUCUCAUUUCAUCCUUAGGGGUGGGGCUAAGCACUUUCUGUGGAUUAUUUAAUUCCAUCACCAUCACAGCCUCAUGAGGCAGGUACUAUUAUUAUCUCCAUUUUGCAGACCAAGGCACUAACGCUCAGGGGGGUUAAGAACUUACUCGGGGUCACACAAUUAAUAAACACCUAUCUGGUGGGGGCUGUUUUGAUGAUUAAAUGAAUCAAAUCUUAUUAAAAACUUAGCAUAUUGACUGAAAGCCAAGUGAAAGCCCUGCAUAAAUGUUAGCCUUUAAUGAUGAUAAUGUAAUAUUCAGUAUUAUUGCUAUCUUACAUUUGUAAUUUGGAAGACACUAAUCUGGAUCAUAUUUCUAACCCACCAAAAGGCAGGAAGGUCCUCGGAAUAAAAACCCUUAAUACCCCUUAAUAUCCUAAGAGGACAGCAAUGUCAACCUGAACCAUCUCUGAAAGCCCCAGGAAUCUGAAACAUCCAGGCACUUCUUGCUGCAGCUGGGAAAAGAAAAUAUUCAUAUGUAUCCUUAAACCCAGGCAGUUAU
Molecule: long non-coding RNA, 2898 nt
Filed under: Sus scrofa (pig)
Lineage: Eukaryota; Metazoa; Chordata; Mammalia; Artiodactyla; Suidae
Description: lncRNA (ENSSSCG00015021569.1)
Source: RNAcentral